UACGUAGGGUGCGAGCGUUAAUCGGAAUUACUGGGCGUAAAGCGUGCGCAGGCGGUUAUGCAAGACAGAUGUGAAAUCCCCGGGCUCAACCUGGGAACUGCAUUUGUGACUGCAUGGCUGGAGUGCGGCAGAGGGGGAUGGAAUUCCGCGUGUAGCAGUGAAAUGCGUAGAUAUGCGGAGGAACACCGAUGGCGAAGGCAAUCCCCUGGGCCUGCACUGACGCUCAUGCACGAAAGCGUGGGGAGCGAUCCGG
This 253-nucleotide ribosomal RNA is filed under the name uncultured bacterium. Its description in RNAcentral is "partial 16S ribosomal RNA". It matches the Rfam family "Bacterial small subunit ribosomal RNA", at positions 524 to 776 of the family's 1533-position model. The record is from RNAcentral.